RNAcentral lists this ribosomal RNA (373 nucleotides) under uncultured organism. RNAcentral describes it as "partial 16S ribosomal RNA". It matches the Rfam family "Bacterial small subunit ribosomal RNA", at positions 527 to 896 of the family's 1533-position model. The record is from RNAcentral.
GUAGGUGGCAAGCGUUGUCCGGAAUCAUUGGGCGUAAAGCGCGCGCAGGCGGUUCUUUAAGUCUGAUGUGAAAGCCCACGGCUCAACCGUGGAGGGUCAUUGGAAACUGGAGAACUUGAGUACAGAAGAGGAAAGCGGAAUUCCACGUGUAGCGGUGAAAUGCGUAGAGAUGUGGAGGAACACCAGUGGCGAAGGCGGCUCUCUGGUCUGUAACUGACGCUGAGGCGCGAAAGCGUGGGGGGGAGCAAACAGGAUUAGAUACCCUGGUAGUCCACGCCGUAAACGAUGAGUGCUAAGUGUUAGGGGGUUUCUGCCCCUUAGUGCUGCAGCUAACGCAUUAAGCACUCCGCCUGGGAGUACGGCCGCAAGGCUG